This 461-nucleotide ribosomal RNA is filed under the name uncultured bacterium. RNAcentral's name for it is "bacterial SSU rRNA". It matches the Rfam family "Bacterial small subunit ribosomal RNA", at positions 340 to 786 of the family's 1533-position model. The record is from RNAcentral.
UACGGAAGGCAGCAGUGGGGAAUAUUGCACAAUGGGCGAAAGCCUGAUGCAGCUAUGCCGCGUGUAUGAAGAAGGCCUUAGGGUUGUAAAGUACUUUCAUCGGGGAGGAAAAACAAAACUAAUAAUUUUAUUUCUUGACGUUACCCGAAAAAGAAGCACCGGCUAACUCCGUGCCAGCAGCCGCGGUAAUACGGAGGGUGCUAGCGUUAAUCAGAAUUACUGGGCGUAAAAGAGCACGUAGGUGGUUUUUUUAAGUCAGAUGUGAAAUCCCUGGGCUUAACCUAGGAACUGCAUUUUGAAAACUGAAAUACUAGAGUAUCGUAGAGGGAGGUAGAAUUCUAGGUGUAGCGGUGAAAAUGCGUAGAUAUCUGGAGGAAUACCUGUGGCGAAAAGCGGCCUCCUAAACGAAUACUGACACUGAGGUGCGAAAAGCGUGGGGAGCAAAACAGGGAUUAGAUACC